CAAGUUCCCCUCUACUCCGCCGCUGUGCUGAAUGCUGCUCCCACCCCUGUGUGCGUGUGAUGGAUCGGGCAGAGAGAUUGACAGGCUAGCCAACAGAGCCAGCAACUGCAGGCCGACCGUCACAGUGGAUGUUAGGGCAUUUUUUCCCAAGAAAACUCCAGCAAAAGCUUCAGCUUCAACUCUUGCCUUGUAAAGAGCGCCCAACGACGUGGCCCUCAUUACGAGCUGGACGUCGCUUCGGGGACCCGCCAGGCGCCCAAGUGGACAAGUAUAGAAUUGCAAGUGAUUAAUUUGUUGAAAGCUCCCCUGGAACACGGUUUACUCGCACAAGUAUUUGUCUUCAUUUGCCAAGAUAUGUACAGUGACAUAAGAAGAUAGGGCUCAGUGAAUGGAGCCCGUGUAUUUCUCUCCAGUGGCAGUAAAGUUCAGCUUUCCUGUAUGAUAGUUGGGUUUAUUGCUAGUGCAUUGCCAGCUGUGUUCACGUGCUACUAAAAAUGGUCCAUUUAACAGCUAAAACUGUGGAACUAAUGGACAAAUAAAGAGUGAGACAAUGCUUGAAGAUACA
Acanthochromis polyacanthus (spiny chromis) is the source of this 565-nucleotide long non-coding RNA. RefSeq lists it as uncharacterized. The record is from RefSeq and is a predicted model, not a curated record. Lineage: Eukaryota; Metazoa; Chordata; Actinopteri; Pomacentridae. The transcript has 3 exons.